RNAcentral lists this ribosomal RNA (203 nucleotides) under uncultured bacterium. Its description in RNAcentral is "partial 16S ribosomal RNA". It matches the Rfam family "Bacterial small subunit ribosomal RNA", at positions 130 to 334 of the family's 1533-position model. The record is from RNAcentral.
CGCUUACUCGGGGAUAGCCUUUCGAAAGAAAGAUUAAUACCCGAUAGUAUAAUGAAACCGCAUGGUCUUAUUAUUAAAGAAUUUCGGUUAUCGAUGGGGAUGCGUUCCAUUAGGCAGUUGGUGAGGUAACGGCUCACCAAACCUUCGAUGGAUAGGGGUUCUGAGAGGAAGGUCCCCCACAUUGGAACUGAGACACGGUCCAA